AUAUGGGUUUUAGAAUCCAUACCACUUAGUAUGAGAUUAUGUACCAAUCCAUUUCAAGUUGAUGAGCCAUCUUUAAUAUACUCUCUCCUCUGUUUCAUUCCAUUGUCUUUCAUUUCAAUUUUCGGACAGAGAUGAACUUUCCAUUGAAGCGGCUUCAGAGCUUACUCCUCCAUUGAAUUGAAGCAAAUUCUCAGAUUAAACAAAGAAUAUUCCUCAAUCGCCUCAAACUCGACGACAACCUCAUUAAGGUAAAUUUUGGAUGCGCUGAAAAUCGGAAGGGUGGAUCGAAAAAGCUUCGGAGAAUCUUAGUCUUCUGUUCACUCUAUUAAGAGGAAUCAUAAUUGUGAAGUUACGUAAAGGUCAAGGGUUGAAGCUUAGAGCAAUAGCUAGAAAAGGUAUUGGAAAAGAUCAUGCCAAAUGAUCUCCUGUGGCUAUAAACCUUAAUGUAUGAGCCAGAGAUUCUUAUCAAUGAGGAUAUGAUGGAAUCCUUGUCACUUGAACAAAAGAAAGAGUGGGUUGAAAGCAGUCCUACUAAAGUCUUUUGACAUUGAUCCUAAUACUCAACAGUUUAUCUAGAUAAUAUGGGAUGAAAUGGGCAAGCUUGAAACAGCUAAGGAUAAGAUGUUAGUUUAGCUUGAACAAGAAUGCAUAGAAGUAUACACUUAAAAAGUUGAUGUGGUUAACUGCUCUAGAGCUCAACUACAACUGGCUAUAUGUUGAUGAUUCAGAGGCAGAACCUGCAGUCUUCUAUUCUGCAAUUGGAGAACUACCAUUAGAUAUCACACAUGUAAUAUUUGAUAUAAUUGGUUUGUGAACUUGGUAGGGUUAGUAACCUUUAACUCAUUUUUAGAAUGCUUGAUCAGGUAUCUAAACUUUAUAAUACGGUGUCAUUCCUUCAACAUGUAAUGUGUCUAAGAUACGUUGAUAUGUUUUUGUUCAAAGCGGUUUGCAUGUUACUUUUGUUA
This is a long non-coding RNA of Chenopodium quinoa (quinoa), 965 nucleotides long. RefSeq lists it as uncharacterized. The transcript is spliced from 4 exons. The record is from RefSeq and is a predicted model, not a curated record. NCBI's taxonomy places the organism in Eukaryota, Viridiplantae, Streptophyta, Magnoliopsida, Caryophyllales, Amaranthaceae.